RNAcentral lists this ribosomal RNA (1675 nucleotides) under Nasalis larvatus (proboscis monkey). RNAcentral describes it as "eukaryotic LSU rRNA". It matches the Rfam family "Eukaryotic large subunit ribosomal RNA", at positions 1150 to 2699 of the family's 3401-position model. The record is from RNAcentral. Lineage: Eukaryota; Metazoa; Chordata; Mammalia; Primates; Cercopithecidae.
CUGGUGUUAUGGGAUGAACUCAACGUGGUGUUAAGGUGCCUGAUGCUGCUGUUCAUCAUACCCCAGAAAACAGUGGACAGCAGGACAGUGGCCAUGGAAGUCAGAAUACACUAAGGAAUGUUUAACAAUGAAUCAACUAGCCCUGAAAAAUAGAAUGAUACUGAAGCAUUGGACCCAUAUCCGGCCGUUGCCAGUGGUUAAGAGUGGACAGGAGUGGUGAGGGUUGUUGCCGCUGCUGGAGCCCUGCGGAUGCUAUGCUGCUAUGAGUAGGAGGGCCUCUGUGGUGAGACUUGAAGCCUAGGGUGUGAGCCUGGGUAGAGCUGCCUCAGGUGCAGAUCUUGGUGGUAGUAGCAAAUAUUCAAAUGAGAAUUUUGAAGGAUGAAGUGGAGAAGGAUUCCAAUUGAACAUGGGUCAGCCAGUCCUGAAAAAUGGGCGUGUGCCCUUCCGAAGGAAUGGAUGAUGACUUCCGUUGCCCUCACCAAUCGAAAGGGAGUCAAAUUCAGAUUUCUGAAUCCAGAGUGGCAGAGAUGGGCACCAGUGAGGGGUUCAGGGAGGUAAUGCAACUGAUCCUGGAGAAGCUGGUGGGAGUCCAGGGGAGAGUUCUUUUGUGAACAGCAGGGCACCCUGGAAUGGGCUCGCCCUGAAAGGCKCCUGUACRUUGGAAAGCAAGGUGSUUCUGGCCCUUGAAAAUCUAUAAAUAUAAAUCUCACACCGGGCUGUAACCAUGUCCACAGCAGAUCUCCAAGGUGAACACUCUCUGGCAUGUUGGAACAAUGUAGGUAAGGGAAAUCAGCAAGUGGGAUCGGUAAAUUCAGGACAAGGAUUUGUUUGCUCCAAGGGCUUUGCUGGUCCUGCUGGGGUGUGAAGCGGGAUGGGUGCAGCCCUUGGCUGGAUGAGGUGGUGCUGCUCCUCCUCAGCACUAGGGACACCCCUCUGCAGCCAUUCCCUACCCCACCCCAUGUAUCUCCCUCUCCCCCAUCCCUCCCCCUUGCUAUUGCUGGUGCCUAGCAGCCAACUUAGAAUUGGUGCAGACCAAGGGAAUCUGAGUAUUUAAAACAAAGCAUGAUGAAGGCCAGUGGUGGCUGUUGACACUAUGUGAAUUCCGCCCAGUGCUCUGAAUGUCAAAGUGAAGAAAUUCAGUGAAGCCACUGGUAAAGGACAGCAGUAACUAUGACUCUCUUAAGGUGUAGUCAAAUGCCUCCUCAUCUAAUUAGUGGCGCGUAUGAACGGAUGAACGAGAUUCUCACUGUCCCUACCUGCUAUCCAGUGAAACCACAGUCAAAGGAAUGGGUUUGACUGAAUCAGCAGGGAAAGAAGACCCUGUUAAGACUGACUCCAGUCUGGCACGGUGAAGAGACAUGAGAGUUGCAGAAUAAGUGAAAGGCCCCCAGCAGCCUUCUGUCACUAUGAGGGGAUGGGGUGGGGUCCACCGGCCUUGUGGCUGCUGGUGAAAUGCCACUACCCUGAUCAUUUUUUCACUGACCUGGUGAGGGGGAAGGGGAUGAGCUACAAGGAGCUCUCACUUUUGGCGCCAAGCACUUGGCCACAUGCUGGCUUGGUGUGACCUGCUCCAGGAAUAGUACCAGGUGCAGAGUUGGACUGGGACGGUACACCUAUUGAAUGGUAAUGCAGGUGUAUGAAGGGUGAGUGCAGGGAAUACAGAAACCUCCCGUGG